Molecule: long non-coding RNA, 1390 nt
Organism: Rosa rugosa (rugosa rose)
Lineage: Eukaryota; Viridiplantae; Streptophyta; Magnoliopsida; Rosales; Rosaceae
Exons: 3
Source: RefSeq, a predicted model, not a curated record
UCUAUACUGUGCUCGAAAAUCAUGAUAAUCCAACGGUUAAUUCAUUCUCAAUCAAGUUUCUACUCAGAUUGGGUCAUCUUUCUCCAUCGACUUCGAGUUAAUUCCAUGAAGUUUACAUUUCCAUCUUGAGUUCACAAAAUUGAUUUUACAAUUGGUAAGAUUUGCCUCAAUCUGUUGAAUUCCAUCUUUCCUAGUUCAAUUUUCAUAUAGAAUCUUAUAUUCAUUAAGUCUUGUGAUACUUAAACUUACCAUUUGCCCCCGUUAUGACUCGGUCUUUCCCUUUAUCUGAUAUCAAAACCUUGUUAUAUUGGCUUAUUCAUACUCAAAAGUUCAUUCAUAUCAGCACCUGACCUUCUGGACUUUUACUUAUCAAAUCCAUAGGGCUCUUGAUUGUGUUUAUGCUGAGAUUUUAGUUCAUAAACCUAGACAUGUCAAGAAUCCAUCACCAACUGGUUUGAUGUCAAUCGGAGUCGAAAUGAAUUUUUGACAAAUUUUCUAAGUUGAUAGAAUGUUGCUGGAAUUUUUAAGAAAACUGCACAGUUCAGUCUGUCUUCGUCCAUCUUUUCCCAUACUUUCUGAACUCCAUUUUUCUUGAAAUUUUAAUAUGUUGUACCUUAACAUGUCAACUUAGGAUCUGAAAAGUUUCAAGUUCAUUGCUCUUAAAAUGAAUUUUUACUACUUUUCUAAACUUGAGCUGUGCCAACUCUUAUAUAUCUCUUUAUCAUGUGUCCUACUUUGAUAGUCCUUGAUUCUGUUGAAUCAAUUUCCAAUGGUUCAGGACUAUUUGGCUUUCCAUAUGAGAACCUUUAAAUUCUAGAUAUAGAUAGUGCUACAUAUUAGAAGCAGAAAUAGAAUUUCGACACCGAGUUAUGGAUUUAUAGAAAAUGGAUCAUGGGAAUGAUAGUUUGCGACCUUUAUUAUUAGGAAUGGGGACAUGCAGUGGACUUCGAUCACCAAAGGAACAAUGAUAGAGGUGGUGGCUAGUUCGUCGAUAUGUUUUCCAUUGCCAAGCUAUCAAGCUACUUCAUAUUUGAUUCCAGUUGGUCUUGCAGGUACUGUGCACGAGGAUUGAGGAGAAUUUUGGGACUGAGCUGGGUGCUACAUUUUUCUUUAACUAUUCAGUAUAUUUACCUACACAUUUUUUUCACCUCUGCUUAAUUGUUAUUGUUUGAUAGAGGUGAGUGUUAUCUCGUUUUUGUCGAUGUUUGCUGAGCUUUUUAACUUCGUAUUCAAAUGGUUUGAACCAAACUAGAAUUUAUUUUCAAUGUUGUAAGUUGUUGAUUCAGGUUUGUUUCACUUAAGUAGUUAUGUUUGGAAAACACUCAAUUGUUUAGUUAUAAUGUCAUUUUAACAAGUAAGAAUAAAGUUUUCAAUUUCACCUCGCUUUAAA